AAGUUAAGAAGGGCACACGGGGGAUGCCUUGGCUUCCGGAGGCGAAGAAGGACGUGGUAAGCUGCGAUAAGCCGCGGGGAGCUGCACGCGAGCGUAGAUCCGUGGAUUUCCGAAUGGGGUAACCCCUCCGAAUGAAUUCGGAGAUCUCCGUAUAGGAGAGGCGAACCCGGGGAACUGAAACAUCUAAGUACCCGGAGGAGGAGAAAACAACAGUGAUUCCCUUAGUAGUGGCGAGCGAACGGGGAGGAGCCCAAACCCAUGGUGUUUAGGCACUGUGGGGGUAGUAGGACCGACGAGAGGCAUGCACAUUCGAAGCCGAACAGUUUGGAAAGACUGGCCAUAGGAGGUGAAAGCCCUGUAGGCGUAAGGAUGUGAGAUGUCAGUUGGUAUCCUGAGUAGCGCGGGACACGAGGAAUCCCGUGUGAAUCAGCCGGGACCAUCCGGUAAGGCUAAAUACUCCCGGAAGACCGAUAGUGAACAAGUACCGUGAGGGAAAGGUGAAAAGAACCCUGAGUAAGGGGGUGAAAGAGAACCUGAAACCGUGUGCCUACAAGCGGUCGGAGCUACGUAAGUAGUGACGGCGUGCCUUUUGCAUAAUGAGCCUACGAGUUGCGCAUCACUGGCGAGGUUAAGGGCUUAAGGUCUGGAGCCGAAGCGAAAGCGAGUCUGAAGAGGGCGUAUAGUCAGUGGUGGCAGACGCGAAACCUAGUGAUCUACCCAUGGCCAGGCUGAAGCUUCGGUAACACGGAGUGGAGGGCCGAACCAGUGAGCGUUGAAAAGCUUUUGGAUGAGCUGUGGGUAGGGGUGAAAGGCUAAUCAAACUGGGAAAUAGCUCGUACUCCCCGAAAUGCAUUUAGGUGCAGCCUUGUGGUGGAGUAUGUCAGAGGUAGAGCCACUGAUAGGAUGCGGGGGUUUCACCGCCUACCAAAUCCUGACAAACUCCGAAUGCUGACAUAUAUACACAGGAGUGAGGGCCGGGGUGCUAAGGUCACGGUCCGAGAGGGAAAGAACCCAGAUCAACGGCUAAGGUCCCGGAGUUAUCGCUAAGUUGUUCAAACGAGGUCGAACUGCAUUGACAGCUAGGAUGUUGGCUUGGAAGCAGCCAUUCAUUUAAAGAGUGCGUAACAGCUCACUAGUCGAGCGGUUUGGCAUGGACAAUAAUCGGGCAUAAGCGAUACACCGAAGCCUUGAUGCUCGUAGGAGCAGGUAGGGGAGCAUUCUGUAGGCGUUGAAGGAUAGCUGAGAGGCUUACUGGAGCGUACAGAAGAGAAAAUGUAGGCAUAAGUAACGAUAAGGCGGGUGAGAAACCUGCCCACCGAAAGACUAAGGUUUCCCGGGCGAUGUUAAUCAACCCGGGGUAAGUCGGGAGCUAAGGCGAGGUCGUUGUAGAGACGGCGUAGCUGAUGCCAAAUCGGUUAAUAUUCCGAUACCUGCUUAUAAUGCGAAGCGGGGACGAAGCAGUGACACCUCCGCCCGGUGACGGAAAUCCGGGUUAAAGCUUGUAGGUAGAUUGGCAGUAGGCAAAUCCGCUGCUGAUGCCGAAGGUGAUAGUACUCAGAGUCUACGGACGAUGAGAUAGAGAGGGUAAUCAGACUUCCGAGAAAAGCCGCUAAGCUUCAGUUAUAAGCAGCCCGUACCGUAAACCGACACAGGUAGUCGAGGAGAGGAUCCUAAGGUGCUCGAGUGAGUCGUGGCUAAGGAACUAGGCAAAUUAACCCCGUAACUUCGGGAGAAGGGGUCCCUGCCGUAAGGUGGGGCGCAGAGAAAUGGCCCAGGCGACUGUUUAUCAAAAACACAGGACUCUGCGAAUUCGAAAGAAGAAGUAUAGGGUCUGACACCUGCCCGGUGCCGGAAGGUUAAGAGGAGGGGUUAGCCGAAGAGGCGAAGCUCUGAAUUGAAGCCCCGGUAAACGGCGGCCGUAACUAUAACGGUCCUAAGGUAGCGAAAUUCCUUGUCGGGUAAGUUCCGACCUGCACGAAUGGUGUAACGAUCUGGGCACUGUCUCAGCCACGAGCUCGGUGAAAUUGUAGUCUCGGUGAAGAUGCCGGGUACCCGCAAUGGGACGAAAAGACCCCGUGAACCUUCACUACAGCUUAGUAUUGACUUUGGACAACGGAUGUGUAGGAUAGGUGGGAGACUGAGAAGCUGAGGCGCCAGCCUUGGUGGAGUCGUCGUUGAAAUACCACCCUUUCGUUGUUUGAAGCCUAACCACUGGAGAAGUGGGACAGUGCUUGGCGGGUAGUUUGACUGGGGUGGUCGCCUCCAAAAGAGUAACGGAGGCUUCCAAAGGUGCCCUCAGCACGCUUGGCAACCGUGCGCAGAGUGCAAUGGCAUAAGGGCGCUUGACUGUGAGGCCGACAAGCCGAUCAGGUGGGAAACCAGGGCAUAGUGAUCCGGUGGCGCUGUAUGGGCAGGCCAUCGCUCAAAGGAUAAAAGGUACUCCGGGGAUAACAGGCUGAUCCUUCCCAAGAGCUCACAUCGACGGGGGGGUUUGGCACCUCGAUGUCGGCUCGUCACAUCCUGGGGCUGGAGAAGGUCCCAAGGGUUGGGCUGUUCGCCCAUUAAAGUGGCACGCGAGCUGGGUUCAGAACGUCGCGAGACAGUUCGGUCUCUAUCUAUUGCGGGCGUUAGAAAUUUGAGGGGAGCUGCCAUUAGUACGAGAGGACCGUGGCGGACGCACCUCUGGUGUACCUGUUGUGGCGCCAGCUGCACCGCAGGGUAGCCAUGUGCGGCAGUGAUAAGCGCUGAAAGCAUAUAAGCGCGAAACAUACCCCGAGAUGAGAUUUCUUUUAAGGGUCGUUCGAGAAGAGGACGUUGAUAGGCUGCAGGUGUACAGGCAGUAAUGUCAUAGCCGAGCAGUACUAAUUACCCGUAGACUUCCU
Molecule: ribosomal RNA, 2882 nt
Filed under: Schleiferia thermophila
Lineage: Bacteria; Pseudomonadati; Bacteroidota; Flavobacteriia; Flavobacteriales; Schleiferiaceae
Description: 23S ribosomal RNA
Rfam family: Bacterial large subunit ribosomal RNA
Source: RNAcentral